GACGAACGCUGGCGGCGUGCUUAACACAUGCAAGUCGAACGGAAAGGCCCUGCUUUUGUGGGGUGCUCGAGUGGCGAACGGGUGAGUAACACGUGAGUAACCUGCCCUUGACUUUGGGAUAACUUCAGGAAACUGGGGCUAAUACCGGAUAGGAGCUCCUGCUGCAUGGUGGGGGUUGGAAAGUUUCGGCGGUUGGGGAUGGACUCGCGGCUUAUCAGCUUGUUGGUGGGGUAGUGGCUUACCAAGGCUUUGACGGGUAGCCGGCCUGAGAGGGUGACCGGCCACAUUGGGACUGAGAUACGGCCCAGACUCCUACGGGAGGCAGCAGUGGGGAAUAUUGCACAAUGGGCGGAAGCCUGAUGCAGCAACGCCGCGUGCGGGAUGACGGCCUUCGGGUUGUAAACCGCUUUCGCCUGUGACGAAGCGUGAGUGACGGUAAUGGGUAAAGAAGCACCGGCUAACUACGUGCCAGCAGCCGCGGUGAUACGUAGGGUGCGAGCGUUGUCCGGAUUUAUUGGGCGUAAAGGGCUCGUAGGUGGUUGAUCGCGUCGGAAGUGUAAUCUUGGGGCUUAACCCUGAGCGUGCUUUCGAUACGGGUUGACUUGAGGAAGGUAGGGGAGAAUGGAAUUCCUGGUGGAGCGGUGGAAUGCGCAGAUAUCAGGAGGAACACCAGUGGCGAAGGCGGUUCUCUGGGCCUUUCCUGACGCUGAGGAGCGAAAGCGUGGGGAGCGAACAGGCUUAGAUACCCUGGUAGUCCACGCUGUAAACGGUGGGUACUAGGUGUGGGGUCCAUUCCACGGGUUCCGUGCCGUAGCUAACGCUUUAAGUACCCCGCCUGGGGAGUACGGCCGCAAGGCUAAAACUCAAAGGAAUUGACGGGGCCCCGCACAAGCGGCGGAGCAUGCGGAUUAAUUCGAUGCAACGCGUAGAACCUUACCUGGGUUUGACAUGGAUCGGGAGUGCUCAGAGAUGGGUGUGCCUCUUUUGGGGUCGGUUCACAGGUGGUGCAUGCCUGUCGUCAGCUCGUGUCGUGAGAUGUUGGGUUAAGUCCCGCAACGAGCGCAACCCUUGUUCACUGUUGCCAGCACGUUAUGGUGGGGACUCAGUGGAGACCGCCGGGGUCAACUCGGAGGAAGGUGGGGAUGACGUCAAGUCAUCAUGCCCCUUAUGUCCAGGGCUUCACGCAUGCUACAAUGGCUGGUACAGAGAGUGGCGAGCCUGUGAGGGUGAGCGAAUCUCGGAAAGUCGGUCUCAGUUCGGAUUGGGGUCUGCAACUCGACCUCAUGAAGUCGGAGUCGCUAGUAAUCGCAGAUCAGCAACGCUGCGGUGAAUACGUUCCCGGG
Molecule: ribosomal RNA, 1343 nt
Filed under: uncultured bacterium
Lineage: Bacteria
Description: 16S ribosomal RNA
Rfam family: Bacterial small subunit ribosomal RNA
Source: RNAcentral